This 1093-nucleotide long non-coding RNA is filed under the name Neodiprion lecontei (redheaded pine sawfly). RNAcentral describes it as "uncharacterized LOC124293247". Lineage: Eukaryota; Metazoa; Arthropoda; Insecta; Hymenoptera; Diprionidae. The record is from RNAcentral.
AUUUCACAAACUACACGGGAAUGAUAUUAAUCAUCACGGUUGUCAUACUUGUCAGUACUUUGGUACUGGCGAUAGUGGCGAUCCUCACGCAAAUCAAAACCUUGUGGGUCAUAUUUGCUGCGUUAAUGACACUUCUGUUAUCCGUGUACCUGUUCUAUGAUACUCAACUUCUCAUGGGCGGACGUAGCAUCGAACUCAAUCCGGAUGAAUAUGUUUACGCUGCGGUGCAAAUAUACGUUGACAUCAUUCUGAUAUUCAGGUACAUAUUGAUGUGCCUGGGUUGCAUGGGGGAUUCGUAGGAAGCCAUUAACCAAGGGGGGCUAUCGCGGUAGAUGUACGACGUUUUCACCGAUUACAUUUAACUACGAAUAUUAAUUCCGAGUUUUCCGGUUCCUUGGAAUAAUCAUAUCAAAAUGUUGUAAGAAUCCAAGCACUGUCCGUAGAAAUCAGUUUGUUUACCACAAUGUAUACCGUCGUGAGUUUAAUGUCAACUGCGAUUUACUUUCGUUGUAAAUAUAUGUACCUCAAGUUCGGACACGUGCAAGAUAUAUCGAGCGUUAUAUUUAUUCGUAUCAAGACCGUAAGAAUAUAGUCACAGUAUCUGCGGUAGACAGAAUUUUUUAUACGCGUGUCGAAUUAUAGGACGUGAAAUUAAUAACACGCCGAGAUUUAUUAAUAGGAAAUAAUGUUUAUUAUACAGUUUACAUUUGUAAUUAACUUCAUUUAUUUGACUUCUGUUAUAAAUUUUACCUUAAUAAUUAUAUAUUAUAUGCCUUUGCCGAACGACGAAUGCUUUCAUCAAUGUGCGUUUAGACUAUAACAAUCUUCGUUAAAAGCAAGAACUUCUUCUCCGAAAUAUGUCGUUCACGUGAUAAUCCUUUAAAGAAUCGUCAAAAUGCGUCGCACUGAAAACUGCAUGAAAUCGCUCGGCAUACAAAUAAUAUACGUAGUACUGUCGACGUAAUUAAAGUAAUUGGCGGUUGUUUUUAUUUAUUUAUUUUUUUUUGUUAAUCGUAAUUGAUUUUUUUGUUUUUUCCAUUGUUUUUUCAAUUUUUUUUUAUCUCGUGAUUCACCGGUCAUCUCUCAGGUGGCU